CGGAUCGAUGAUGACUACUGGUGGCGUAUGAGUUUUGUUCGAUGAAUACGUCUGUACUCUGAGGUCCGU
RNAcentral lists this small nucleolar RNA (69 nucleotides) under Microcebus murinus (gray mouse lemur). RNAcentral's name for it is "Small nucleolar RNA SNORD113/SNORD114 family (ENSMICG00000021555.3)". It matches the Rfam family "Small nucleolar RNA SNORD113/SNORD114 family". Rfam says of the family: The imprinted human domain at 14q32 contains two clusters of tandemly repeated small nucleolar RNAs named 14q(I) and 14q(II) snoRNAs. Lineage: Eukaryota; Metazoa; Chordata; Mammalia; Primates; Cheirogaleidae. The record is from Rfam by way of RNAcentral.